This 492-nucleotide ribosomal RNA is filed under the name uncultured bacterium. RNAcentral's name for it is "partial 16S ribosomal RNA". It matches the Rfam family "Bacterial small subunit ribosomal RNA", at positions 29 to 507 of the family's 1533-position model. The record is from RNAcentral.
AGUGAACGCUGGCGAUAGGCCUAACACAUGCAAGUCGAACGGCAGCACAGUAAGAGCUUGCUCUUACGGGUGGCGAGUGGCGGGCGGGUGAGGAAUACAUCGGAAUCUACUUUUUCGUGGGGGAUAACGUAGGGAAACUUACGCUAAUACCGCAUACGACCUACGGGUGAAAGCAGGGGAUCUUCGGACCUUGCGCGAUUGAAUGAGCCGAUGUCGGAUUAGCUAGUUGGCGGGGUAAAGGCCCACCAAGGCGACGAUCCGUAGCUGGUCUGAGAGGAUGAUCACCCACACUGGAACUGAGACACGGUCCAGACUCCUACGGGAGGCAGCAGUGGGGAAUAUUGGACAAUGGGCGCAAGCCUGAUCCAGCCAUACCGCGUGGGUGAAGAAGGCCUUCGGGUUGUAAAGCCCUUUUGUUGGGAAAGAAAAGCAGCAGGUUAAUACCCCGCUGUUCUGACGGUACCCAAAGAAUAAGCACCGGCUAACUUCGUG